Molecule: ribosomal RNA, 497 nt
Filed under: uncultured bacterium
Lineage: Bacteria
Description: partial 16S ribosomal RNA
Rfam family: Bacterial small subunit ribosomal RNA
Source: RNAcentral
GAUGAACGCUGGCGGCGUGCCUAAUACAUGCAAGUCGAGCGAACGGACGAGAAGCUUGCUUCUCUGAUGUUAGCGGCGGACGGGUGAGUAACACGUGGAUAACCUACCUAUAAGACUGGGAUAACUUCGGGAAACCGUAGCUAAUACCGGAUAAUAUUUUGAACCGCAUGGUUCAAAAGUGAAAGACGGUCUUGCUGUCACUUAUAGAUGGAUCCGCGCUGCAUUAGCUAGUUGGUAAGGUAACGGCUUACCAAGGCAACGAUGCAUAGCCGACCCGAGAGGGUGAUCGGCCACACUGGAACUGAGACACGGUCCAGACUCCUACGGGAGGCAGCAGUAGGGAAUCUUCCGCAAAGGGCGAAAGCCUGACGGAGCAACGCCGCGUGAGUGAUGAAGGUCUUCGGAUCGUAAAACUCUGUUAUUAGGGAAGAACAUAUGUGUAAGUAACUGUGCACAUCUUGACGGUACCUAAUCAGAAAGCCACGGCUAACUACGUG